This 375-nucleotide ribosomal RNA is filed under the name uncultured Glomeromycotina. RNAcentral's name for it is "LSU rRNA". The record is from RNAcentral. Lineage: Eukaryota; Fungi; Glomeromycota.
UUGAAAGGGAAACGAUUGAAGUCAGUCAUACCAACGGGAAAUCAACCUUUUGAGCUCGGUCUCGUGGGUUUUGAAGAGUUUCAAAGCCUUCGGAUUCGCGGGAUUGGGAUCUCUUGGUGUACUUUUUCGUACGGUUAGUCAACAUCGGUCUUGAAUGUCAUAAAAUGACUGGAGGAAUGUAGCUUCGAUCUCGUAUUGAAGUGUUAUAGCCUUUGGUAGAUGUGAUGUUUGAGACCGAGGAUUGCAACGGAUACCCUUCAGGGCUAUUCGUCUGAUCUCUGGUACGUUGCCUUGAUGUUGAAAGCUUGCUUAUGAUGUUAGGGUAUUACGGUCAAAAGGUUAGAACGAAUUACAUUCGUUAAGGAUGUUGACGUA